Molecule: ribosomal RNA, 449 nt
Filed under: uncultured bacterium
Lineage: Bacteria
Description: partial 16S ribosomal RNA
Rfam family: Bacterial small subunit ribosomal RNA
Source: RNAcentral
GACGAACGCUGGCGGCAUGCCUAACACAUGCAAGUCGAACGAGAUCUUCGGGUCUAGUGGCGCACGGGUGCGUAACGCGUGGGAAUCUGCCCUUUGGUUCGGAAUAACAGUUGGAAACGACUGCUAAUACCGGAUGAUGACGAAAGUCCAAAGAUUUAUCGCCAGAGGAUGAGCCCGCGUAGGAUUAGCUAGUUGGUGUGGUAAAGGCGCACCAAGGCGACGAUCCUUAGCUGGUCUGAGAGGAUGAUCAGCCACACUGGGACUGAGACACGGCCCAGACGCCUACGGGAGGCAGCAGUGGGGAAUAUUGGACAAUGGGCGAAAGCCUGAUCCAGCAAUGCCGCGUGAGUGAUGAAGGCCUUAGGGUUGUAAAGCUCUUUUACCCGGGAUGAUAUUGACAGUACCGGGAGAAUAAGCUCCGGCUAACUCCGUGCCAGCCGCCGCCGUAA